AACGUCCGACGCGGUGGGAGUGGAUAUGCUCCUACUCAAUUCACAGGUAAGUUGUGUUCCUCUGUCUUGCGUUCGUAGCUAAAAUAUUUUUCUGGUCAUAUAUUUUAAUAAAGUUUCCAUUGUGUUGAAUCCAUAUUACCAAGCUUUCAUGUUUAGGUUUUUGUUUUACAUAUAUUUUGAAUAAGACAAUUUAAAACCGCUUGUUGAUUGUUCUGUCUAAUUCACAUAUGUUCAGGCGAUCAUGAUGUCGGGGCACCGUGAAUGUCAACCGUAAAACAUUGAGAGAGUACAUGUCGUCUAAGGGCCAUAUACCAAAAGCGUAAGGCAUUGUUUUAAAAAGUUGGUUGAGUCCACCAAAACUCUCGCAUCAGCAUGUAUGUAUAGACCAUGUUUCCUGUUAGUUUUUUUUAAUUCAAUAUUAAAGUUUAAUAAGCUCAC
Molecule: long non-coding RNA, 438 nt
Filed under: Brassica napus (rape)
Lineage: Eukaryota; Viridiplantae; Streptophyta; Magnoliopsida; Brassicales; Brassicaceae
Description: long non-coding RNA (BNAP_LNC027096)
Source: RNAcentral